AGUGAACGCUGGCGGUAGGCCUAACACAUGCAAGUCGAACGGCAGCACAGUAAGAGCUUGCUCUUACGGGUGGCGAGUGGCGGACGGGUGAGGAAUACAUCGGAAUCUACUUUUUCGUGGGGGAUAACGUAGGGAAACUUACGCUAAUACCGCAUACGACCUACGGGUGAAAGCAGGGGAUCUUCGGACCUUGCGCGAUUGAAUGAGCCGAUGUCGGAUUAGCUAGUUGGCGGGGUAAAGGCCCACCAAGGCGACGAUCCGUAGCUGGCCUGAGAGGAUGAUCAGCCACACUGGAACUGAGACACGGUCCAGACUCCUACGGGAGGCAACAGUGGGGAAUAUUGGACAAUGGGCGCAAGCCUGAUCCAGCCAUACCGCGUGGGUGAAGAAGGCCUUCGGGUUGUAAAGCCCUUUUGUUGGGAAAGAAAAGCAGCAGGUUAAUACCCCGCUGUUCUGACGGUACCCAAAGAAUAAGCACCGGCUAACUUCGUG
This 492-nucleotide ribosomal RNA is filed under the name uncultured bacterium. RNAcentral's name for it is "partial 16S ribosomal RNA". It matches the Rfam family "Bacterial small subunit ribosomal RNA", at positions 29 to 507 of the family's 1533-position model. The record is from RNAcentral.